RNAcentral lists this unclassified non-coding RNA (350 nucleotides) under plant metagenome. Its description in RNAcentral is "partial contains 5.8S ribosomal RNA, internal transcribed spacer 2, and large subunit ribosomal RNA". The stretch from base 1 to 105 matches the Rfam family "5.8S ribosomal RNA", at positions 50 to 154 of the family's 154-position model. The record is from RNAcentral.
GAAAUGCGAUAAGUAAUGUGAAUUGCAGAAUUCAGUGAAUCAUCAAAUCUUUGAACGCACCUUGCGCUCCUUGGUAUUCCGAGGAGCAUGCCUGUUUGAGUGUCAUGGAAUUCUCAACUCUAUUUGCUUUUGUGAAUAGAGCUUGGAUUUGGAGGUUUAUUGCUGGUACUUGUGAUCGGCUCCUCUUGAAUGCAUUAGCUCGAACCUUUGCGGAUCAGCUAUCGGUGUGAUAAUUGUCUACGCCGUUGCAGUGAAGCAUAUCAAUGGGCUCGGCUUCCAAUCGUCCUUUACUGGACAAUGACUUUGACCUUUGACCUCAAAUCAGGUAGGAUUACCCGCUGAACUUAAGC